This 508-nucleotide ribosomal RNA is filed under the name uncultured bacterium. RNAcentral's name for it is "bacterial SSU rRNA". It matches the Rfam family "Bacterial small subunit ribosomal RNA", at positions 28 to 528 of the family's 1533-position model. The record is from RNAcentral.
GACGAACGCUGGCGGCGUCGGAUUAGGCAUGCAAGUCGAACGGUAUCAUCCUUUCGGGGGUGAGAGAGUGGCGAACUGGUGAGUAACACGUAGGUUAUCUACCCUCAAGACGGGGACAACCCAGGGAAACUUGGGCUAAUACCGGAUGUGAGCAACUUUUAGUUGUUUGAAAGGUGGCGUAAGCUGUCGCUUGGGGAUGAGCCUGCGUCCUAUUAGUUAGUUGGUGAGGUAACGGCUCACCUAGGCAAUGAUAGGUAGGCGGCCUUAACGGGUGGUCGCCCACACUGGGAUUGAGAUACGGCCCAGACUCCUACGGGAGGCAGCAGUCGAGAAUAGUCUACAAUGGUCGGAAGACUGAUAGUGCGACGCCGCGUGAACGAUGAAUCCUUCGGGUGUAAAGUUCUUUUAUAUGUGAGCAGUGCUUCUUAUAUUAACAGUAUGGGGAGAGAGAUAUUAGCAUAUGAAUAAGCAACGGCUAACUCCGUGCCAGCAGCCGCGGUAAACUCGU